GGGGAAUUUUCCGCAAUGGGCGAAAGCCUGACGGAGCAAUACCGCGUGAGGGAGGAAGGCUCUUGGGUUGUAAACCUCUUUUCUCAGGGAAGAUAGUGACGGUACCUGAGGAAUCAGCAUCGGCUAACUCCGUGCCAGCAGCCGCGGUAAUACGGAGGAUGCAAGCGUUAUCCGGAAUGAUUGGGCGUAAAGCGUCCGCAGGUGGCAGUUCAAGUCUGCGGUCAAAGACCGGGGCUCAACCCUGGAAAGGCAGUGGAAACUGAACAGCUAGAGAGCGGUAGGGGCAGAGGGAAUUCCCAGUGUAGCGGUGAAAUGCGUAGAGAUUGGGAAGAACACCGGUGGCGAAAGCGCUCUGCUAGGCCGCGACUGACACUCAGGGACGAAAGCUAGGGGAGCGAAUGGGAUUAGAUACCCCAGUAG
This 420-nucleotide ribosomal RNA is filed under the name uncultured Chroococcidiopsis sp. RNAcentral's name for it is "bacterial SSU rRNA". It matches the Rfam family "Bacterial small subunit ribosomal RNA", at positions 356 to 793 of the family's 1533-position model. The record is from RNAcentral. Lineage: Bacteria; Bacillati; Cyanobacteriota; Cyanophyceae; Chroococcidiopsidales; Chroococcidiopsidaceae.